AUUUUUUCAGAUACCUGCUAAUAUGUAGAAGUAUGACAUGAAUAUCGCCUUGCAAAUUUUAUCAAGCGUAUUCUGGAAUUCGAAGCCCCUAAAGUAAACUGGACAAAGAUCUAAGAUCCAGAUAUUCAUAGGUUGAACAACUUGGGACCUACACAAGUGCAUCUUACUGAAUGAAGACUUUCCGUCCACCAAUCCCGUCCAAGGACAAUUGUUUUCUUGGUUCUGCGUACCUCAGUAAUUUACACUAAGGAUGCUAAAUGUGCUGAAUUACCCGUCAAGGACAUCAAAACAUCAGGAAUUCAAGGACAUGGUGUUAUUUAACAUGCUUCAACCGAAUUGAUGACAACAAAAGUGGACACGAUUCGGAAGUUUCAUCAAGCUUAUCUUGGAAUCGGAAGUCUUUACAAAUUAUGGACAAAAAUUCAAAAGCUGCAAUUGAUAUUUCAAGAAACUUGCGAUUUAUACCAAGUUUAAAAUGUAUCGAUUAAAAUGAUAAAAAUUGGAUUAUAAAACCAAUCUGCACAGUAGAAAUGAUAUUUAAUAUAAUCAACAUUUUUGGCUGCUAAUAUAUUUUUGAAAUGAUUGCUUCUAUUGUCACUCCAAAUGAUGGAUAACAUUUAUUAAGAACUUCUCUGAAAAAUGCAGAAAUUCGUUUACAAAAGUUUGAUGUUUAAUGAAGUAUCUUUCGUGCAUCGCAGUUAUCAUGCAUUCAAAAUAAAUGUUUGGCUCGUCAAUUAAUAUUUCGUCGAGAAAUUUUUCAGAAUAUUUUAUUCAGGUAUCAACUCUGUUAAUGAAACGGUAACGUAUUGGUGCAUAUUACGUUUAUUCGGAUAUGAAGCAAUCCGUUUUCUAUUCUGCUUUUCAAGACCUUGUAUCUGAAAAUCUAAUUAGCUAUGAAAUAUGCUAUGGGAUAGAUAAAAAACCUAUUUUAAAAUCUGCAUUAUUUGAAUCUCGAUAUGUUCACAAUCGUAGCUUGAACAGAGCUAUUUCAAUGAUGGAAAUGGACGUUGUAUCUAUAUUUAAAGCUAAAGAAAAUAUUGAUACCCUUCGUUUUCAUUUUGCACUGAAUGACGGUGCAUGACAAAGCAGCUUAAUAUGGUUCAUAGUUAGUCUCGUCUUAAGAUGUGGAGUUAUUUUGAUACUCGCCCUAUAAAGGUUUUUGCAAUGUUAUACUAGAAAUAUUCACUUUUUACACGAAUUGACUUUGCAUUUUCUUUUAUAAGGA
Argiope bruennichi is the source of this 1225-nucleotide long non-coding RNA. RefSeq lists it as uncharacterized. Lineage: Eukaryota; Metazoa; Arthropoda; Arachnida; Araneae; Araneidae. The record is from RefSeq and is a predicted model, not a curated record. The transcript is spliced from 3 exons.